RNAcentral lists this ribosomal RNA (399 nucleotides) under uncultured bacterium. Its description in RNAcentral is "partial 16S ribosomal RNA". It matches the Rfam family "Bacterial small subunit ribosomal RNA", at positions 338 to 734 of the family's 1533-position model. The record is from RNAcentral.
CCUACGGGAGGCAGCAGUGAGGAAUAUUGGUCAAUGGACGCGAGUCUGAACCAGCCAAGUAGCGUGAAGGAUGACUGCCCUACGGGUUGUAAACUUCUUUUAUAUGGGAAUAAAGUGUUCCACGUGUGGGAUUUUGUAUGUACCUUAUGAAUAAGGAUCGGCUAACUCCGUGCCAGCAGCCGCGGUAAUACGGAGGAUCCGAGCGUUAUCCGGAUUUAUUGGGUUUAAAGGGUGCGUAGGUGGCUUUUUAAGUCAGUUGUGAAAGUCUGCGGCUCAACCGUAAAAUUGCAGUUGAAACUGGGAGUCUUGAGUACAGUAGAGGUGGGCGGAAUGCGUGGUGUAGCGGUGAAAUGCUUAGAUAUCACGAAGAACUCCGAUUGCGAAGGCAGUUCACUGAGC